This 253-nucleotide ribosomal RNA is filed under the name uncultured bacterium. RNAcentral describes it as "partial 16S ribosomal RNA". It matches the Rfam family "Bacterial small subunit ribosomal RNA", at positions 524 to 776 of the family's 1533-position model. The record is from RNAcentral.
UACGGAAGGUGCAAGCGUUAAUCGGAAUUACUGGGCGUAAAGCGCGCGUAGGCGGCUUCGUAAGUCGGGUGUGAAAGCCCCGGGCUCAACCUGGGAACGGCACUCGAUACUGCGGAGCUCGAGUACGAGAGAGGGGGGUGGAAUUCCAGGUGUAGCGGUGAAAUGCGUAGAUAUCUGGAGGAACACCGGUGGCGAAGGCGGCAUCCUGGACCGGUAUUGACGCUGAUGCGCGAAAGCCAGGGGAGCAAACGGG